This 500-nucleotide ribosomal RNA is filed under the name uncultured Glomeromycotina. Its description in RNAcentral is "partial small subunit ribosomal RNA". It matches the Rfam family "Eukaryotic small subunit ribosomal RNA", at positions 591 to 1092 of the family's 1831-position model. Lineage: Eukaryota; Fungi; Glomeromycota. The record is from RNAcentral.
CCAAUAGCGUAUAUUAAAGUUGUUGCAGUUAAAAAGCUCGUAGUUGAAUUUCGGGAUUAGCAAGUUGGUCGUGCCUUCGGUAUGCACUGGCUUUGCUGAUUCCUCCUUCUUGAAGAACUGUAAUGCUAUUAAUUUAGUGUUGCAGGGAAACAGGACUGUUACUUUGAAAAAAUUAGAGUGUUUAAAGCAGGCUAACGCUUGAAUACAUUAGCAUGGAAUAAUGAAAUAGGACGUUUGAUCCUAUUUUGUUGGUUUCUAGGAUUGACGUAAUGAUUAAUAGGGAUAGUUGGGGGCAUUAGUAUUCAAUUGUCAGAGGUGAAAUUCUUGGAUUUAUUGAAGACUAACUACUGCGAAAGCAUUUGCCAAGGAUGUUUUCAUUAAUCAAGAACGAAAGUUAGGGGAUCGAAGACGAUCAGAUACCGUCGUAGUCUUAACCAUAAACUAUGCCGACUAGGGAUCGGAUGAUGUUAAUUUUUUAAUGACUCAUUCGGCGCCUUACG